Molecule: ribosomal RNA, 824 nt
Filed under: uncultured Dictyocoela
Lineage: Eukaryota; Fungi; Microsporidia
Description: SSU rRNA
Rfam family: Microsporidia small subunit ribosomal RNA
Source: RNAcentral
GUGGAGCGGUAUACGGCUCAGUAACGGGCGAUUUAUUUGUUCUCCUGGGACGGACAACAUCGGGAAACUGAUGGGAAAACGUCUAAGUUGCAGUUAAUUGACUGUGACGUAAACCUUUGUGUGCAGGAGAGUAAGAUGCCAUCCUAUCAGUUAGUAAGUAGGGUAAGGGCCUACUUAGACGAAGACGGGUACGGGGAAUGAGGGUUUGAUUCCGGAGAGGGAGCCUGAGAGAUGGCUACCAGGACCAAGGUCAGCAGCAGGCGCGAAAAUUAUCGAAGCCCGCCUAGGGGCGAUAGUGAGGAGACGUGUAUAACGAAGUACGUGUAAAGAACGUGCUAAUAACUGGAGGUCAAGUCUGGUGCCAGCAUCCGCGGUAAUUCCAGCUCCAGGGGUGUCUAUGAUGAUUGCUGCGAUUAAAAAGUCCGUAGUCAAUCUGACUGACUGACCUGCAAUGUGAUUGAUUAAAGAACGAGCAGGGUUAGGAAAGCAGAGAAUUAGGAGCGACCGAGGGCUAGAGUAUUGAAUGGCGAGAGGUGAAAUUUGAUGACCCAUUCAGAGUGACAAAGGCGAAGGCACUAGUCAAGGGCGAAUCCGAUGAUCAAGGACGUAGGCUAGAGUUUCGAAAACGAUUAGAGACCGGAGUAGUUCUAGCAGUAAACUAUGCCGACGCCGUGGUAUCAAUAAUGGUAUUGCGGAAGAGAAAUCAAGUAAGGCUUUGGGGAGAGUACGCGCGCAAGCGAUAAAUUUAAAGGAAAUUGACGGAGGAACACCACAGGGAGUGGAGUGUGCGGCUUAAUUUGACUCAACGCGGGACAGCUUACCAA